GGCGCGGGCAAAUCGACUCAUAAUCGCUUGGUCGUUGGUUCAAACCCAACAGGGGCCACCA
This 61-nucleotide transfer RNA is filed under the name Escherichia coli. RNAcentral's name for it is "tRNA-Leu". The record is from RNAcentral. Lineage: Bacteria; Pseudomonadati; Pseudomonadota; Gammaproteobacteria; Enterobacterales; Enterobacteriaceae.